RNAcentral lists this microRNA (24 nucleotides) under Ananas comosus (pineapple). Its description in RNAcentral is "microRNA s1022_c129a". The record is from RNAcentral. Lineage: Eukaryota; Viridiplantae; Streptophyta; Magnoliopsida; Poales; Bromeliaceae.
CGACUACUAUAUUUUUAUGAGUAU